UUCUUUAUCCAAGAGAGAAGGUGAC
RNAcentral lists this non-coding RNA (25 nucleotides) under Rattus norvegicus (Norway rat). Lineage: Eukaryota; Metazoa; Chordata; Mammalia; Rodentia; Muridae. The record is from RNAcentral.